This 492-nucleotide ribosomal RNA is filed under the name uncultured bacterium. RNAcentral's name for it is "partial 16S ribosomal RNA". It matches the Rfam family "Bacterial small subunit ribosomal RNA", at positions 29 to 507 of the family's 1533-position model. The record is from RNAcentral.
AGUGAACGCUGGCGGUAGGCCUAACACAUGCAAGUCGAACGGCAGCACAGUAAGAGCUUGCUCUUACGGGUGGCGAGUGGCGGACGGGUGAGGAAUACAUCGGAAUCUACUUUUUCGUGGGGGAUAACGUAGGGAAACUUACGCUAAUACCGCAUACGACCUACGGGUGAAAGCAGGGGAUCUUCGGACCUUGCGCGAUUGAAUGAGCCGAUGUCGGAUUAGCUAGUUGGCGGGGUAAAGGCCCACCAAGGCGACGAUCCGUAGCUGGUCUGAGAGGAUGAUCAGCCACACUGGAACUGAGACACGGUCCAGACUCCUACGGGAGGCAGCAGUGGGGAAUAUUGGACAAUGGGCGAAAGCCUGACCCAGCAAUACCGCGUGGGUGAAGAAGGCCUUCGGGUUGUAAAGCCCUUUUGUUGGGAAAGAAAAGCAGCAGGUUAAUACCCCGCUGUUCUGACGGUACCCAAAGAAUAAGCACCGGCUAACUUCGUG